UUUUUGUUUUUUUGUUUUUUUGUUUUAACCAUUCAACACUCUAUAUCUUUUGAUUGUCAAAUUUAGUCCAUUUACAUUUAAAGUAAUUUUUGAUAGGUAUAUACCCAGUGCCAUAUUUUAACCAUCAUUUUCUGGCUGUGUUUGUGAGUCUCUUCCGUUCCUUUCUUCUUCUCUUUCUCUCUUCCCUUAAGUUUUGGUGGUAUUAUUUAGUGUUAUAUUGAGAUUCCUUUCUAAUUUUCUUUUGUGUAUUUACUCCCUUGUGUAAGUUUCUCCCUUGUGGUUACCAUGCAGUUCACAUAUAACAUAUGUAAACAGCAUUGUUUUAAGUUGGUAGCAACUUAAAUUUGAACACAUUCCAAAGCUUUAUAUUUUUACACCCCCAUCCACAUUUUAUACUUCUGAUGACACUUGUUACUUCUUUUUAUGUCUUCCUUAACUAAUCUAGUUUUGUUUUUUUUUUUUUGUUUUUUUUUGUCUUUUUUUUUUGCCUUUUCUUGAGCCGCUCUCGCAGCAUAUGGAGCAGUCCAAGAAAUAGCAAAAAAAAAAAAAAGAAAAGAGGCUCAAUGAUGUUAGUCAUUAGGGAAAUACAAAUCAAAAUCAUGAGAGAUAUCACUUUAAACCCACUACGAUAGCUAGAAUUUUUUUAAAGGAAAAUAACAAGUGUUAAUGAAGUUACGAAUAAAUUAGAAUCCUAAUACAUUGCUGAUGAUAAUAUAAGGUGGUACAAUCACUGUGAAAACAGUUUGGUGGUUCCUCAAGGAGUUAAACAUAGAAUUAUCAUAUGAUCCAAUAAUUCCACUUUUAGGUAUAAAAUGAAAACAGAUGUUCAAACAAAAAUGUGUACACAAAUGUUCAUAGCAGCAAUAUUCAACACAGACAAAAGUAAACACAAUCCAAAUAUCUACUAACUGGUGAAUGGAUUAAAAAAAAUAUGCCAUGUCCAUAUAAUAAAAUAUUUAAAUAUAAAAAGGAAUGAAAUACUGAUUCAUGCUAUAAGAAUGAACCUGGAAAACAUUAUGCUAAGUGAAAUAAACCAAAAUACAAAGAGCAUACAGUAUAUGAUUCCACUUAAAUGAAAUGUCCAGAAGAGGCAAAUCAGUCUUAGCCAGGGACUAAGAGAAGUGGUGGGGUAGGGAGUAAUUAUUCACUGGAUACAGAAUUUCCCUCUGAAGUGAUGAAAAAGUUCUGUACUUGAACUGUGUGGAUGAUUGCAUAAUACUAUGAAUGUACGUCAUGUCACUGAAUUGAAUUCAUUGCGUUAGAAUGGUUAAAAUGCCAAAUUUUAUGUUAUAUGUACUUACCAUAAUAUAAAAAUCUUUUAAAAGGAAAUUAAAAAAAAAACAAGAAGGCGAUAAUUCUUGCCUACCUACAAGCCUUUCUAUACUAUUACUCCAUGUGUAAAAUGAGAUUUGUGUAUGUGGCAUUACUUCAUAAACCAUAAAUUAUUAUUCCAGAGAAAUGCAGCUGCUAUUGAAACAGUAUAGAUAAAUGAGACUUCAGAAUACUCAUAGAAUAUUAUUAAUAAUAUAUUUUCACUUUUCUUCAAACACACCUUCAUGUGCUCUAUUAUAGAUUAGUAACAAUUUAAGAAAACAAUUAUAGGAUUAAUGCCAGGUGAAUUCUUAAACAGAGGUCUGAGUGAGAACUGCUUGAAAUUACAUGAAAAUUUUGUGUUUCUAUUAUGAUGAAUAUAGAAAUCAUAAUUUUUAGAUUUUACUGGUACUCAUGUUAAGAACUACUGGUAAGCCACAAAGAUCCACUUUACAAAAGAAUGAUUUUUUUGAUUUCUCAAAGCAUAGCUUUAUCUUUGUAAAGAUAAGUUCUCAAAAAAAGCAGAACUCAAAAAUAAAUGCCCACCAAGAUAACGACUUUAGCUCAUAAUUAUUUCUCUUUUCUAUUACUCCUCUUCUAAAUUUAUUUUUGCAAUAGUUAUUAACUUCUUAUGUAUCUCUCAUUUGUUGAUUUAGUAUAAUUCAACACUUUGGUAUAUACUGCCUGGAUCAGUCUCUACCUUCAUAAAUGAUAAGCUACCCAAGAAUAGAGGUUUUAUUUUUUUUUAAAUUUAUUUAGUUGUCCUGGAAUAUAAAAAAUUGGAUACAAUAAUUUUAUUUUUAUAAGCUUCAUGUGUAUCGUUUGAAUUAACUAUAAACAUGUUUUAUUUAUUAGAGCACAUGUUCUAUAUUUCAAAUGAGGUAUGCAUCUAGAGUAAUUUUGCAGUUAUAACACUGAAUAAUGAAUAAGACAUAUCCAGUUAUCAAAGUCAUUAUUAGAGUAACCCCUAACCAUGUUGUUUCAUUUGGUCAACCAUAUUUACUAACGCUUCAUGGUACUAUUAAUAUUAUCCACCGAUGCUUAUUUUACCUUCAAGUAGAGAAAUAUAUUAAAAUCUUUCUAGAACUUUUACAGGUUUCCUUUAUACAACACUAUUCACUGUAACAAAUUAAGAAUAAAAGGUCAUGAUCCAUCAUUUUGACAUCAAAUGAUGACAAAGGAACCGUGGAAAUAUGUUUGGUUUAAAUACAAUCUAAAUGUUUAUGAAAUGUUCAUUUUAAAGGUUUUAUAUUGUCACUACAAUCUUACAGGCAUUUAGAACAAUUUGUUAUAAAUUACACUAGAAUCUGUAGUCUUCUUCCAUGUUUAGUCUAGUUUAUCUAAGACCAAGUUGUUCUUUAACUCAACACAGAAAGUAAAAUCAAAUAAAUCUCCAUUUAAGUUAGCAAUUUUAUUUACCCUGUUUUUCACUAUUAUUAUAUUAUUUUAUAGAAUUUCUAGUCUUCUAAAAGAUAGAUGAGCCCUUUUGUGAGACUCUCCUCUCAAAAAUCAAAGCAGAAUUAAGCAUUUUCCUUCUCUUUGUUUCUAAAACACCACAGCGUAUUUCUAUUAUGGCAAUAAUCACACUGCUCACUUAAUUUAUAUUCCUAUCUUUUUCAUCAGACAGUAAAUCUUAUAAGGUCAGGGGACUCUGCUUCCUUCAUAUUAUUAUUUUUUUUCUUCUAAAACCUAAGCACAGUCUCUAGCAUACUAGGUGCUCAAUAAAUGUCUGUUCACUAAUUUGUGGAAAUAUCUGGUUAUGGGGGCAAAAUUGACAAAUGAAUAUAUGUUUAUACAGAAUAAUUUAAAUAAGAUAAAGCUCAUAACAUAAUCCUAAUCACACAACAUCUUAACAGUUAUUACGUCUUUUCCAUUACGUCAGCAUAAAACAGUGAUGGGGUAAAUUUCAAGUGCCAAAAUAACUUAGUCCCUUACAAGGACAAGGGAUAACCAUCUUCCCUCUCCAGAAAGGAAAGCCUAAGCUAAAAUUUCAAUGGAGUCAAAGUCACCUAACAUCUAGAACAAAGUAGCUACCAAUUGGGAGUUCCCCUUGUAGAUCAGUGGGUUAUGAACCCAACCAAUAUCCAUGAGGAUAUGGGUUUGAUCCCUAGCCUUGCUCAGUGGGUUAAGGAUCCAGCAUUGUAGUGAGUUGUGGUGUAGGUUGCUCAUGAAGCUUGGAACCCACAUUGCUAUGGCUGUGGCAUAGGCUGGCAGCAGCUCCAAUUCAACUCCUAGCCUGGGAACUUCCAUAUACUUCAGGAGGGGCUUUAAAAAGGAAAAAAAAAAAAAAAAAAAAAGUAGCUAUCAUUCUUAAUUUAUAACAUCAUUAUGUCAUUUAAAGAGUAUAUAAGAGGGUUAUGAUACACAAUAUACUCUAAAAUAAUAAAUUAUUUCUGAUUUUAAAUAAAUUAUUUCAUUUUGUUUAAUUCAUUUGUCUUAGAAAAUUUCUGAUGUGAACUAUAAAAACAAGAGAAAGAAAAAUGAUUCUAUAGAAGUAAUUUCACAGAUGUUACUAAUUGCUUGUUGAAAACUUUUUUUCCCUUUCUUCCUUACUAACAAAACUCUGAUGUUGUUCAUGGUGGCAAUGGGAGUCACCAAGCACUCUUAAAAGUAGAGGUGGCCAUAUAUGUUCUGGCCUAUGAGAUGGAGAAAGAGUUUGUCAGGUCAUAUUGGAGAAAAAAGUCCAAACGAAUGUAACGAUGACAAUUAACAGGAAAUAGCUCAUCUGCAGCUAAACAGAUUUCUCAGGCCCUCUCCUAAUUUUUUCAAAUUAAUAAACAAAAUCACAAAUUUUCUGACAAAAUAUAGGUAUUAGUCAAUAUAGCGACUGAUGACACUAACAGAACCCUAAGUAACAGGCACUAAAUCUAUGUGCUUUACACCAAGUAACCCAUUUAAUCUAACCCUAUCAGGCAGGUGACAAUAAAGAUCACACAGCUUAUAGGCAGCAGAGGGAGAAUUCAAACUCAGGUAACUUAACUCCAUAGUUAUGUUGUUAAUUAUGUUCCAAUAUGCCAAUACAUGUAUCUAUGUAUGUAGUAGCAUGAAUAAAUACAUAUGAAUAUAAAUAAAUAUGUGUUUAUCAUACCAGCUAAUGUUGAAUUUGAACAUAAAAAGUUUUCAUACUAAUUAAAAUGAUAAUAUAUUCAAACUUUAAGCAGGUAUUGCCUAGGAUUUUAAUUUACAAGUAAAUAUGAAGGACUUAUUAGUUUGAUGUGACCAAGACUGUCUUAUUCACAACUGUAAGCCCCAUCACAGUGCUUUGUUCAGAGUAGGAAAGUAAUAUAGAGAUUUGACAAAUGACUUAUGAAACAAUGUAAGUAAAAGGUUAACAUACAGAUUUGAAGCGGGAGCUGCUAUUAAGCUUACCCAGCUAAUGUUAAAUCCUGGAAGAAAUAUUUUUAAAAUGCUAUAUUUGUCACAAUAAACAUAAUUGUUUAUUCAUAAGCCAAUUUUGUAUGCAAUACAUCCCUAAGCCUAGCUACUGAAAAAACACUUUGCUUGUUCUUUAUAAUAUUAACAUUUGAAAGAUCUUUGUGACUAAGGCUUUCAUUUUAAAAUUAAGGUAACUGUAACUUUCACCUGAACAAAAUUCAUAUUUAGAGUUACCUUUGAACUUUAAAAAAGAUCAACAAACACUAAAUUUUUUGAACAAUGAUCUUUGAGUUAUUUAUUUAUGUUUUUAGGGCCACACCUGCAGCAUAUGGAGGUUCCCAGGCUAAGGGUCAAAACAGAGCUGUAGCCACCAGCCUAGGCCACAGACACAGCAAUGCAGGAUCCAAACCUUGGCUGUGAACUACACCACAGCUCACAACACCACCAGAUCCCAGGGAUUGAACCCGCGUCCUCAUGGAUGUUAGAUUCAUUUCCACUGAGCCACGACGGGAACUUCAAUCUUUAUGAGUAUUUAAAAAAAAUAUUCAAAACAGGAUUUAUUUAUUUAUUUAUUUGCUUUACCAGCUCUUCCUUACAGCAUCUGCAACAAAAUGUGGUAUACAAAAAUUCGAUUUAUUAUCUUUCAAGGAUAUGUUUCCGCCAAAAGAAAGGUAAACACAUAUAUUACUUUGACAUUCAAAAUUAUAAACAGAUCAUUCAGACUGUAUAUUCUACAUCCUUCUUUUACACAUAUCUGCUACCAGGAUUAAUUUUCAUCAUAAGAGGAAAGUUGGCUAUGACAGGGACAUUGAGCAACCAAUAUUCUGUCUUUGUUGGUACUUUGAUCAAGAAAAAUAGCUUUUUUGUUUUUUAUUCCUUACUUUUUCAAUUUAGAAUUGACAGACUAUAGCAAUGCUUUAAAAGUUGCUACAAUGUUGUCUUCAGAAGAAGCUCCUGCUGUUUAAAGCUGGAUUGUGAGUCUUCACUGAGUUCAGGUGCUUAAAUGACUUUGACAACAUACCAUAAACACCAUCAGUAGACCUUUAUUUAGUUAUUUGUUCAACUCAUUUCCCAGAAAAUGACUAUGUUUUUGAAUGAUCUCAAUUCUACUACUUUUAGACACUUAGGCUAAGUGAAAGGUUGGAAGCAUUUAAGCCUGGUGUUCUGGUGGUAAAAUUAUGUUUAUACAGUUAACACACAAACAUUUCACCAGUUACAGUUUUUGGAUAAUGAAGGAGCGGACAUCACCAGAGAUCCUACAGAGAUUAAAAGAACAAUGUAAAAAUCUCUAUGUCUGUAAAUUCAGCAACUUAGAAGAAAUGGAGCAACUCCUUGAAAUCCAUAAACUACGAAAGAAAUAACCUGAAGAGCCCAACAGCUAUUAAAGAAAUUUAGUUCAUAGUUUAAAAAUGCCUCAACAAAGAAAACACUAGGCUUGGAUGGUUUCAGUGACUGCAGGUGGCCAACCUGAAGAAAUAGGAAAAGGCAGCAUUAAGAUAAAGCAUACAAACUGUGUUGCCUGCUACAGAAGAAGCCACCAGUCACAUGCAGCUACUGAGUUGGCAGCUUGAAAUGAAGUUAGCUCCAAUUGAGAUGUGUUUUAAGUGCAAAAUAUGUAAGAUUUUGAAGACUUAGCAUGAAAAAGAAUAUAAAUACUCAGUAAUAAUUUUUACACUAAUUACAUAUUAAAUUGGCAAUAUUUUGGACAUACUGAGUUAAAUGAGGAUAUUACUAAAAUUGUCAUGUUUCUUUUUGCUUUUUAAAAUAUAGUUACUAGAAUAUUUAAUUUUACAAAUGUCACAAUAUACUUCUACUGGACAGAGUUGCUCUACAAAAUUAAGAAUGGAAAAGUCCAACAACACAAAAAAAGCUUACUGAUGAUAUCUUGAGGCCUCUGGAUCAUUUUUGCCUGAAGCUGCCCUAACUCUCUGAUAAAUAAAUGAAUAAAUUUCUUUAAUAGUUUAAGUUAUCAUCCACAGAUUUUGUAAUUUUGCAACUAAAAGUAUCCCAACUCACACUCUAAUCCAGCAGUUCUUCCACUGACAAUUUUGAAGAAAUAAAAAUGGUUCCAUACAAAUUUUCUUUGUAGUUCUUUCGCUCUACUUGCAUAUGUUUAUAGACAGUAUACUCACUGGCUAUUAUAAAGCACUUCAUUUCCGGAGUUCCCAGUGUGGCACAGGACAAAUGAAUCCAACUAGUACCUGCAAGGAUGUAGGUUCGAUCCUUGGCCUCACUCGGUGGGUCGGAGAUCCAGUGUUGCUGUGAGCUGUGGUGUAGGUUGCAGAUGCAGCUUGGAUCCUGUGUUGCUAUGGCUGUGGCAUAGGCUGGCAGCUGUAGCUCUGAUUCAACCCCAGUCUGGGAACUUCCAGAUGCUGCGGGUGUGGCCCUAAAAAGCAAAAAAAUUUAAAAAAUAAAGCACUUCAUUUCCAUUACAGGUAUUAGAAGCAUAACAUUCUUUUUUUUUUUUUUUGUGAGGGGGAGCUGGGUGUCCUUUACUUUUUUUUUUUUUUUUU
RNAcentral lists this long non-coding RNA (7199 nucleotides) under Sus scrofa (pig). Its description in RNAcentral is "lncRNA (ENSSSCG00015045422.1)". Lineage: Eukaryota; Metazoa; Chordata; Mammalia; Artiodactyla; Suidae. The record is from RNAcentral.